AGGGCACAUGGUGGAUGCCUUGGCGUUAAGAGCCUAAGACGGGCGUGGCAAGACUGCGAAAAGCCUUGGUUAGCUGUCCAGCAAGCGUAACCAGGGAUCCCCUAAUGGGACAACCUGCCUCGGAAAAACCGAGGCGCACCUAGCUGAACACAUAGGCUAGGCGCGGGAACCGGGCGAACUGAAACAUCUUAGUAGCCCGAGGAAAAGAAAUCAACCGAGAUUCUCCUAGUAGUGGCGAACGAACGGGGAACAGCCCAAACCUUGAAGGAAGAGCGGACUUUGGAGUCUUAUGCCUUCAGGGGGUUGUAAGGCAUAGCGGCCUGGUCCAAAACAGGCACAGAGUUACAAAUCCUAUUUCUAGUCGAACGACCCUGGAAAGGGCGACUACAAAGGGUGAUAGUCCCGUAGGCGAAAGGAAUAGGACUCUGGCUAUGACCUUGAGUACCACGAGACACGUGUAAUCUUGUGGGAAGCAGGGGGGCCCACCCUCCAAGGCUAAAUACUCUUGACGACCGAUAGUGUACAAGUACCGUGAGGGAAAGGUGAAAAGAACCCCGGGAGGGGAGUGAAAUAGAACCUGAAACCGUGUGCUUACAAGCGGUCAGAGGUCGCUUCGGCGACUGAUGGCGUGCCUAUUGAAGAAUGAGCCGGCGAGUUGAUCUGCGUCGCUAGGUUAAGCAACUGUCGUUGCGGAGCCGCAGCGAAAGCGAGUCUGAAUAGGGCGUGGCAGACUUCGGUCUGCAGGUGGCGUGGAUCAGACCCGAAACCGAGUGAGCUAACCAUGGUCAAGGUGAAGCGAGAGUGAAAUCUCGUGGAGGCCUGAACCUUUCAAUGUGGCAAAAUUGUAGGAUGAACUGUGGUUAGAGGUAAAAUGCCAAACGAACUCGGAGAUAGCUGGUUCUCCCCGAAAUGCAUUGAGGUGCAGCCUCAGGCAUUGAACUAUGGAGGUAGGGCUCUGGAUGAGCUAGGGGGAGAGUAUCUUACCAAACUCAACCAAACCACUAAUGCCAUAGUUUGUAUCCUGGGAGUGAGACUGUGGGGGAUAAGCUUCAUAGUCGAGAGGGAAACAGCCCAGACCAUCAGCUAAGGUCCCUAAGGUGGACUAAGUGGUAAAGGAAGUGGAGUCGCUCAGACAGCCAGGAUGUUGGCCUAGAAGCAGCCACCAUCUAAAGAGUGCGUAACAGCUCACUGGUCGAGUGGUUCUGCGCCUAAAAUUUAGCGGGGCUCAAGUCCGCCACCGAAGCUAUGGAUCCUUCUUCGGAAGGAUGGUAGGGGAGCGUUGCCUGUGCGUCGAAGCUCUGAUGCGAGUCAGUGUGGAGCGCAGGGAAGUGAGAAUGCCGGUAUAAGUAGCGUAAAGGCGUGUGAAAAACACGCCCACCGAAAGCCUAAGGUUUCCUAUGCAACGUUAAUCGGCGUAGGGUUAGUCGGGCCUAAGUCGAGGGCGAAAGCCGUAGACGAUGGACAGCAGGUUAAUAUUCCUGCACCGCUAGCCUCGUUAAGCUGUUGGGGGACACAGGAAGGUAGGUUGAGCGUGCCUAUUGGACAUGGUGCGUCGUUCCGGCGCUAGUCGGAGCGGAAGCGGAGGGGAGACCCGAAGCGACUCAGCUGAUCCUAUGCUGUCGAGAAAAGCCCAGCAGUUUGAGGUGUGCGCCCGUACCGCAAACCGACACUGGUAGGCUGGGGUAAAUGCCCUAAGGUGUUCGAGAGAACCCUCGUUAAGGAACUCGGCAAGUUGACCCCGUAACUUCGGGAAAAGGGGUCCCCGACGCAAGUCGGGGCGCAGUGAAAUGGCCCAGGCGACUGUUUAACUAAAACACAGGUCUCUGCUAAAGCGUAAGCUGAAGUAUAGGGGCUGACACCUGCCCAGUGCCGGAAGGUUAAGGGGAGUGGUUAGGGAUGCUUGCAUCUCGAAGCUGCGAACCGAAGCCCCGGUGAACGGCGGCCGUAACUAUAACGGUCCUAAGGUAGCGAAAUCCCUUGUCGGGUAAGUUCCGACCUGCACGAAAGGUGUAACGACUUGGGCGCUGUCUCAACGAGGGACUCGGUGAAAUUGAAGUACGAGUGAAGAUGCUCGUUACCCGCGACGGGACAAAAAGACCCCGUGGAGCUUUACUAUAGCUUGGCAUUGGAUUAGGGCUUAGCAUGUGUAGCAUAGGUGGGAGGCUAGGAAGCCUGGACGCUAGUCCGGGUGGAGCCAACGGUGAAAUACCACUCUUGUUGAGUCUUGGUUCUAACUCCAGAGCAAGCUGGAGGACAUUGCCUGGUAGGUAGUUUGACUGGGGCGGUCGCCUCCCAAAAAGUAACGGAGGCGCCCAAAGGUCCUCUCAAGGUGGAUGGAAAUCACCUGUCGAGUGCAUUGGCAUAAGAGGGCUUGACUGUGAGACCAACAAGUCGAGCAGGGACGAAAGUCGGGCAAAGUGAUCCUACGGUUCCGAGUGGAAGGGCCGUGGCUUAUCGGAUAAAAGCUACCCCGGGGAUAACAGGCUUAUCUUGCCCAAGAGUUCAUAUCGACGGCAAGGUUUGGCACCUCGAUGUCGGCUCAUCGCAUCCUGGGGCUGGAGAAGGUCCCAAGGGUUAGGCUGUUCGCCUAUUAAAGCGGUACGUGAGCUGGGUUCAGACCGUCGUGAGACAGGUCGGUCUCUAUCUGUCGUGGGCGUAGGAGAUUUGAGGGGAGCUCUCCCUAGUACGAGAGGAUCGGGAGGGACGGACCUCUGGUGUGCCAGUUGUCGUGCCAACGGCAGCGCUGGGUAGCUAAGUUCGGAAGGGAUAAGCGCUGAAAGCAUCUCAAGUGCGAAGCCCACCCCAAGACGAGAUCUCCCACUGGGUAACCAGGUAAGACCACAAGUAGACUACUUGUUUGAUAGGCAGCGUGUGUAAGCGGGGUAACCCGUUCAGCUAAGCUGUACUAAUGGUCGAGGGCUUGGUCU
RNAcentral lists this ribosomal RNA (2927 nucleotides) under PVC group bacterium. RNAcentral describes it as "bacterial LSU rRNA". It matches the Rfam family "Bacterial large subunit ribosomal RNA". Lineage: Bacteria; Pseudomonadati. The record is from RNAcentral.